GAUUGAAUUGUAUCUCUCCUGUGCUCAGACCCCUUCAGAGGCUCCUACUAUCUACGAGGAGGAAGACGAGCAGGAUGCAAAGAGCAUGAGCUCUUGAGCAAAACCACCGAGAAUUUCCACUCUGCAGCCACUGUGUACUUCGAUAGUUGCUUCAAUGUUGUUUGUCUUCAUUUGGAUCUUCUAGGCAGGAAAGGC
Long non-coding RNA from Hyaena hyaena (striped hyena), 195 nucleotides. RefSeq lists it as uncharacterized. Lineage: Eukaryota; Metazoa; Chordata; Mammalia; Carnivora; Hyaenidae. The transcript has 3 exons. The record is from RefSeq and is a predicted model, not a curated record.